UACGUAGGGAGCGAGCGUUGUUCGGAAUUACUGGGCGUAAAGAGUGUGUAGGCGGUGCUCUAAGUCUGUCGUGAAAUCUCCCGGCUUAACUGGGAGGGUGCGGCGGAAACUGGUGUGCUCGAGGGUGGGAGAGGUAAGCGGAAUUCCUGGUGUAGCGGUGAAAUGCGUAGAUAUCAGGAGGAACACCUGCGGUGUAGACAGCUUACUGGACCACUUCUGACGCUGAGACACGAAAGCGUGGGUAGCAAACAGG
RNAcentral lists this ribosomal RNA (253 nucleotides) under uncultured bacterium. RNAcentral describes it as "partial 16S ribosomal RNA". It matches the Rfam family "Bacterial small subunit ribosomal RNA", at positions 524 to 776 of the family's 1533-position model. The record is from RNAcentral.